Molecule: ribosomal RNA, 253 nt
Filed under: uncultured bacterium
Lineage: Bacteria
Description: partial 16S ribosomal RNA
Rfam family: Bacterial small subunit ribosomal RNA
Source: RNAcentral
UACGUAGGGUGCGAGCGUUAAUCGGAAUUACUGGGCGUAAAGCGUGCGCAGGCGGUUCUCCAAGUCCGUUGGGAAAGCCCCGAGCUCAACCUGGGAAUGGCAGUGGAAACUAGGGGACUGGAAUCUGGCAGAGGGGGGUGGAAUGCCGCGUGUAGCAGUGAAAUGCGUAGAGAUGCGGCGGAACACCGAUGGCGAAGGCAGCCCCCUGGGCUGAGAUUGACGCUCAGGCACGAAAGCGUGGGGAGCAAACAGG